CAGGACUGCAGUCCAACCCACUGCGCCACCGCACCCCCAGAUUGUAGACAGAGAGGUGCAAACCUAGUGAUUGUAAAGAGUGAAAUUGUGCAGGACCUUGUUACCAAAUUUAAAAUGGAUUUCUGGAUUGGUCUAACUGAUCGAGACACAGAAGGGACCUGGAAGUGGGUGGACGACACAACCCUUUCCAAAGAGACAUGGUUCUGGGAACCUAAACAGCCUUAUGACUACAAAGGAGAUGAAGAUUGUGUGGGGUCCAGGAAUGACUACAAUGAACUUUCAAAAAAAUUGAAUGACUUUCAUUGCAAUGAAAUGCUGCACUAGAUUUGUGAAAAAAGUGUCAGUCAUUAUAGUACAUAGUUACCCAUAACAGAAUGUUCAAAAACAUGCAGAUGUACGCAAACAUGCAUUAAUUUCCCCCCAUUACUGCGAUAACUGAAAAUUAAUGUUUGCAAUUUACUUACAAAAUAUUUAACUUUUUCAAGGAAGCAGAAGUUUGAGGACAAAUGUAUUUUAUAUGCAUAUAAUUACUUUUCAUGUAUCAAACCAAUUUAUUUGUGCUACAUGUGCAUAUAUCUGGCUAGAUCAUGUGCAUAAUGUAUAGAUCAUAUCUGCUUUAAUACUAGUAUGAUAUAAAAGAUCUACUCUUAUGCUUCACUUUGCUUCUGUUUGUAUAUAUGAUGUGUUGUCCUGUUGUGCAGCAUAGUGUUUGUACAAUGAUGAACAUGUUAAUUUUGCUAAAACACCUUUCCUGAAGCUUGUUAUGAGAUACAUCAGUAGCAGGUGCUCAGGCCCGAUAAAAGAAAGUUUGACAGAUGAUGGUGAAAUUGAUUUAUUUUGGGUGCAGAAGUGUAGACGCAAGUGUAGCUAUUGUGGUAUACAUAUAGUGUGCUUUGGUGGUUUUUUUUUUUUUGGAGUAUGAAAAUAGAUAGAGAAGAUAAAUAAAUAGUAUAUAUGUAUAUGUGUGUGUGUGUGU
RNAcentral lists this long non-coding RNA (976 nucleotides) under Scleropages formosus (Asian bonytongue). Its description in RNAcentral is "lncRNA (ENSSFOG00015025887.1)". Lineage: Eukaryota; Metazoa; Chordata; Actinopteri; Osteoglossiformes; Osteoglossidae. The record is from RNAcentral.